This is a long non-coding RNA of Gopherus agassizii (Agassiz's desert tortoise), 2089 nucleotides long. The record is from Ensembl. NCBI's taxonomy places the organism in Eukaryota, Metazoa, Chordata, Testudines, Testudinidae.
CUGCGCUCCGGGCCCUCGGCUGCCUACGCCAGACUGAGCCAGCCGAGCCCCGAACGCGGCCCUGCCCCGGAACAGCCGAGCGCCGAGGCAUUGAACCAGGGUCACGUGACGGCUCGGCCCAUCGCCAUCAGCGUUACCGAGGCGGAAGCGAAGAGCCUCUGUGGUGCUAGUGAGACGGAAGCAUGGGCCGAGGGCGCUAGAACUGACCCUUGCGGGAUUCCGUCCCUUCCUCCAGCCGCGCUAUGCCUGACACAGCAGUGAGUGCGCCCCUAGUGGCCAGAGCCCUAGUGUCCUGAACCCCCACCCCCGGGGGAAGGACCCGGGCCGGCGCGCUGGGCCUCGCCGCGUUGCCAUGGGAACGUGGCCCCUGCGCAGCUCUCCCGCUCCAGCAGGCCCCGGAGCAAGGCCGGGUAACCGCGGCGCUGGGCCGCGCUGCUCCCUGAGCCCAGCGGGCGGCUGUUGGUGUUUCCUCGCCUCAGACUCUGCCCCAGCCACAGGUCCUGAGCCAACUCCUACUGAAGUCCACAGCAGUCUCACUAUUGAUUUCAUUGGGCUCUGGCAUGAUCCCGUGAUGAGGUGAGUUCAGUGUUCCUUGGAAGAUGGACCCAUGGAAACCCACCUUUCUGCUGCUUCCUGCACUGCUCCCAUGCAACUCUGAACCUCCUCCGUGUCUAUAGUGAAGGACACAAUGCCCCAGCCUCACAUGAGCAGCCAGGAGGCUAUGUGAAAAGGAAGCGACUCCACUUUAUCUCCUGCAGAGUGUUUUGUGCCCCCCAUUCACUGGCAAUAAUGACUGGAAACCACAGGCUGGGUCACAAAUGGCACCUUUUGCACCAUGACUGUCACCAGCAGAGGCUGUAUGCGAUGUGAAAAUAUUCUCCUCAGCGGCUUGUCAGCUGUCUGCAGAGGCCUGGACUUUCUAGUUCGGGACCAGUGGGCUCACUGUGCAGCAAGAUUUGUCCCGAACUAGUCACUUGUCACUGCAGGACUGUACGAGCUGUGGCUGGCACCUGGUCUGUUGUAAAUUGAAACCAGGUAAGAAUCAGGUUUUGAACACCGUGGCGACUUCCUCAGAGAAAUCCUCAGGCCUGACUGAGCCAGCCAUAGAUGCACCCAACACUUUAUCAAACAGAGAAACUUAGACAGCCCGUGUUUUAUAGGAGGUUCUAAAUGCUUCUCUUUAGUGAUAACUAUGAAGGUGACUAAGAAAUGCCUUUAACUGCGUGUAGCAUCAUUUGCUCAGUGCAGAUUUGAAAGUGGAGGCUCAGAUUCAAGAAAUGACAUAAAAGGGAGAAUUUCUGCUUUAAGUUAGUUCAUCUUGAUUGUGAACCUAUGACAAGUUGUACAGGAAAUUAUGUAAAGUCCCUGAGUCAGUGUUAUCUGCGAAGGUGGGGAGUGGGAUUCUUCCAGUUUCACAAGCUUUGUAUCCAGAAUAGAAAAAAAAGAAUCUGUGUUCCAGCAACAUUCAGCAAUGAUACACCAAUGAGAGCCAAGUGGGCAGUGUAGCUGGAGCUGAAGUGUUUCCAGCCCUAUUCCGUGAAAAGUGGUGGUAAAAAUGCUCUGUCUACACCAGUGUCUCUGUUGUAUCACCAGCAGAGCUGCAUCCUAUGUGUUUUCCUUCACUGACUCAGCUCCAGUGUAUUGUGGCAGAGUGCCGGCAUUUUUAACACCACUGUGACAUACCCAGGGUACAAUCCAGACUAACAAGUAGCUGCGUCACACCUGCCCUCUAACCUCUGGUGCCCUUUACACGGUCUUGCUGCUGUAGCCUCCAGUCUGGAGUGCUCACAAAGAGCCUGCAAGUCACUCCCAGCCAUGUCUGUGUGCUGCAGCCAGCCAGCCCUUGGCUCUCACCAGCCUGAGUUGUACUGCACGGUGACCCCAACUCACUUCCAGGCCUAGCUUUUCCCCCAGAAGCGUAUGUCCUGUACUGCCCAGCCCUCUCCUGGACAAUGCAAGUUUAUAUAAAUUCCAUCAUUUCAUCCACAGAAAUACGCACACAUCUUGUUACCCCCAACAACAUUUCCCAGACACUUUGAUUUAAACCCAUCGGUUCACAUCAAACAAUAAAACAAGUUUAUUAACUACA